CAGUAGCCACGGUAAUACGUAGGUGGCGAGCGUUGUCCGGAAUUAUUGGGCGUAAAGGGAGCGCAGGCGGACAUAUAAGUCCAUCUUAAAAGUGCGGGGCUCAACCCCGUGAGGGGAUGGAAACUGUAUGCCUUGAGUGCAGGAGAGGAAAGCGGAAUUCCCAGUGUAGCGGUGAAAUGCGUAGAUAUUGGGAGGAACACCAGUGGCGAAGGCGGCUUUCUGGGCUGUAACUGACGCUGAGGCUCGAAAGCCAGGGGAGCGAACGGGAUUAGAUACCCCUGUAGUCCCUGUCUCUUAUACA
RNAcentral lists this ribosomal RNA (301 nucleotides) under uncultured bacterium. RNAcentral's name for it is "partial 16S ribosomal RNA". It matches the Rfam family "Bacterial small subunit ribosomal RNA", at positions 509 to 809 of the family's 1533-position model. The record is from RNAcentral.